UAUGGUCGUCGAGUGAAUUGUUGA
RNAcentral lists this non-coding RNA (24 nucleotides) under Arabidopsis thaliana (thale cress). The record is from RNAcentral. Lineage: Eukaryota; Viridiplantae; Streptophyta; Magnoliopsida; Brassicales; Brassicaceae.